UUCAACCCGCCUCUCCCGAGCCCCGACAUCGCCUUCCUAGCAACGGGUUGUUAAAGGUGUCGAUCCCACGCCAACGUCAAGUCUGGUCCCGACAACUAGCAGGACCCCACUACCGCUCAAGAGAGCCAGGGAAUUACCCCGCCCCCUGGUGUACGAGAUGGAAGCCAUGCUCGACGACCUGGAGGAUGAAGAGACCCUUGCGUACCGGGCCAAAUGGGGCAAGUCGACAGUGGCAGGGUUGGGCUCUUCAUUGGGCGUCGGCCCGGCGAGGAACACCAUGGAUGCCUCCACGCACAGCCCCCGGCCAGCCCCCCUCGCGAGGGCAUGGGACAAACCUCAAUCACUGGCGGGAACGUUGAUGUUUCUCCUCCGUCUCCCGACAAGGAAAUGGAAGGAGAUCGCCAGGAAGAAGUCCACCAAGGAGGGGCAGUUCCUCUGGUGCCUCCCUUGAUCAAUGUCCAAGGAAAGACUCUCCGACAAGGGCUUCUACUGCGGGGUCAGUUCGCUUUGAAGCCACCCCAUUGAAGGGGCAGCCAUUGACCCCCCACCGGUAGUAAAUGAUGCCCGAGAAGGAGAAGUCUCUUCCCCGCAAUAGCCAGUGGGUUCUCCACUCCAAGAGGGAGAACUUCCAGAAGAGGUGGCCAAUAUUGGGAAGGAUGCUGCCAUCGAAGCCGUCAAGAUUGCUGCCGAUGAAGGGCGCAACGAGGCUCCCGGGAAUAUCCAAGAAGCGGCGGAAGAAACCAGCAAUCCUCCCGGCUGAAGAAACGAGGCUCUGGAAGCAGCUGAGGAUAAGGUGCCCCUCCGAUCAGAUGCAUCAAACUUGAGGGUGCCUCUGCUUGUCAUAGCGACACAACCCUCUCCAAGUAGCUUGGUGUUAAUCGUUGCCCAUCCAGAUCCGGCAGUCCCCAGCCCACCAACCCUGACUGGGGUGAAUUUCGAUGAGGAGAUUAGUCGUAUACUGGCUCCCUUGACCAAAGGGCUAACAAAUCAGGUGAUUCCGUCGAAUGUUCCAAGGACUUGGCUUUCCUGGAGACGGUGGAUGCCGGGCUCAAAGAUGUGCAAGAGAGGUAUGGCCAGAGGUGGCAGGCAGUUCAAGGAGAACAUAGGGCCUAGGACGUGGCCACCCAACAAUUGGAGGAGAAGGCGUAAGAGUUGCGCACUUGGAACAACAAUUGAUCCCGCGAACCCACGGAUCAGGAGGAGAAAAUGGCUGCUGCUGCUGCAGAGAGAGCAAGAACUCGUGACAACAAGCUGACGGAGCGUGAAGUGUAGCUGAACGCGAAAGCCAAAGAUCUUGCCGCUCGUGAGUAGGCCAUGGCUGACACUCUUCGCAGCAAGGACGAUGAGGUGGAAAACCUUGUUCAGCAGCGGACCAAGGAUGUGGAGGACGGCCAUACAUAAAACCAUCGAUGCGCAGACCCAGGACGCGGCAACCAAACUCAAGGAGGUCGCCGAUAACCUUGCCACAGCUUCCAAAGCUAGGACAGAGUUCGAAACCCGAGUGGGAAGGUUGGUGGAAGAGCUUGCCGGGAGCAAAAAGGAGACUGAGGCCCUUCGGGAAGAAGUGCGGAAGGCAGCCACCAUGCUAGAGGGGCUGCAAUCACAUCUUGCAUCCAAGGACCAGGAACUGACUACUGCCACUAGUACCAUUGAGGACCUGAACACCAAACUCGCCACUCUAGAGAAAAAUCUCGAGCUAGCCAAGGAUCGAGAGAGGGUCUUGACAGAAGAACUUAAUACUGCAGGGACUCUCCGGAAGGAUGAAGAGCUCAAGCUUAAGGACCAGGUUGAUCUGUACGACCUCUUGUCAAAGAGCCUGGUCAACAUAGCCGAACACAUCUCCUCCUAGAUCGUCAAGAUGAACAUGAAGAGCUAGACCUUCUCCGUCAACGAGCAUGAGGCCCCGAGCAUCAAGUUGACACACUUCUUUGAGGGCCUUAUCGAUGGAUUGAAGACAUAUGAAGAUGACAAUUCUGCCUGCUUCGCCAGAGAGUCCCGGAAGUUUUCUUGGGACGCUAUCGUCACCAUCCUCGUCAACUUUGCACAGCGUCACCCUGACAUCGAUCCCUCCGACGCCUUCAAGAAGCUACCGGCCAGGAGGGACACUUCUGCCAUCGCACAAGUUGUCGGGCCUCUGGCCGACAAGGUUCUUCGGGUGCCCCUGGUCCAAGGAGGACACCGGGAUUGAACUCCUUCAUUCCAUCCGCAGUAGCGCUGCCAAACAAAAGACACAUUUUGGCCUUAUGUUAGGUCUCACUACUUUCGGGGAUGUAAUAAUACUCUUAAGUAGUUGGAAUAACUUAUGCUA
Aegilops tauschii subsp. strangulata is the source of this 2308-nucleotide long non-coding RNA. RefSeq lists it as uncharacterized. Lineage: Eukaryota; Viridiplantae; Streptophyta; Magnoliopsida; Poales; Poaceae. The record is from RefSeq and is a predicted model, not a curated record.